Molecule: long non-coding RNA, 530 nt
Filed under: Anas platyrhynchos platyrhynchos (common mallard)
Lineage: Eukaryota; Metazoa; Chordata; Aves; Anseriformes; Anatidae
Description: lncRNA (ENSAPLG00000017672.1)
Source: RNAcentral
GAUUCUUGCAAGCUCUCAGUCAGAACUAUGAAGUGAUUUUUCAGAGAAUUUUUCUUCAUAAUUUUUUUAAAGUGUAUUUUAAUGAACUUUAAUAUUAGCGUGCAUGUGAGCUUUCUGCCAGAAAAAGUAGCUUUUGUCACUCUGCACAUGCUAUUUUGUGAAAAAGCAAAACAAACAAAAAAACAAACACAAAAACAAACAAAUGAAAAAACCCUUUUCUCUUUCCUAGUUGCUCAUGUCUGACAUCUUGCAUUUGAGCACUGGGACUGAAUGCAAGGAGCAUGUGAUCUGAUGCUUUGUGAGCGAUGAGACCAUGGUUAUUGCCGCCAUCAGUCAGCAGAGCAAAUGAGUGGUUAAUGACGAGACUAAAAUGCAUCUUGCUGAAAGUUCAGGUGACUUUGCAAGAUUGUUCAAGAGCACCAUGUUCUGCUACCUUCAUUCAAAAGUUUUUUGAUCUCUUUCAUGGGAUACAGGAAAGGACUUUGAAUUCAGUGGCACUUGAGUUUGCUUGUUUGGGGUGUUUUCACUGA